Molecule: ribosomal RNA, 510 nt
Filed under: uncultured bacterium
Lineage: Bacteria
Description: bacterial SSU rRNA
Rfam family: Bacterial small subunit ribosomal RNA
Source: RNAcentral
GAUGAACGCUAGCGGGAGGCUUAACACAUGCAAGUCGAGGGGCAGCAUAGGGUAGCAAUACUCUGAUGGCGACCGGCAAAACGGGUGAGUAACGCGUAUGCAACCUACCCUGUACAGGGGGAUAACCCGGAGAAAUUCGGACUAAUAUCCCGUAAUAAUAUCCGGAGGCAUCUUUGGAUAUUUAAAGUUCCGACGGUACGGGAUGGGCAUGCGUAACAUUAGCUGGUUGGUAAGGUAACGGCUUACCAAGGCUAUGAUGUUUAGGGGUCCUGAGAGGGUGGUCCCCCACACUGGUACUGAGACACGGACCAGACUCCUACGGGAGGCAGCAGUGAGGAAUAUUGGUCAAUGGGCGCAAGCCUGAACCAGCCAUCCCGCGUGCAGGAAGACGGCCCUAUGGGUUGUAAACUGCUUUUCCAGGGAGAGAAACUUACGCACGUGUUGCGUGACUGACGGUACCCUGGGAAUAAGCAUCGGCUAACUCCGUGCCAGCAGCCGCGGUAAUAGUGU